Long non-coding RNA from Sinocyclocheilus anshuiensis, 105 nucleotides. RefSeq lists it as uncharacterized. The record is from RefSeq and is a predicted model, not a curated record. The transcript is spliced from 3 exons. NCBI's taxonomy places the organism in Eukaryota, Metazoa, Chordata, Actinopteri, Cypriniformes, Cyprinidae.
AAAAAAUCCUGGAAAGUUUCCCAAAUUUCUGGAAUAUUUCCGAAAUUUACUGGAAGUUUUCCACCUUUUGCAACCCUAGUCCGAGAUCUGUUACAAAAAAUAAUU